This 498-nucleotide ribosomal RNA is filed under the name uncultured bacterium. Its description in RNAcentral is "partial 16S ribosomal RNA". It matches the Rfam family "Bacterial small subunit ribosomal RNA", at positions 27 to 507 of the family's 1533-position model. The record is from RNAcentral.
GGAUGAACGCUGGCGGCGUGCCUAAUCCAUGCAAGUCGAGCGAACAGACGAGGAGCUUGCUCCUCUGACGUUAGCGGCGGACGGGUGAGUAACACGUGGAUAACCUACCUAUAAGACUGGGAUAACUUCGGGAAACCGGAGCUAAUACCGGAUAAUAUAUUGAACCGCAUGGUUCAAUAGUGAAAGACGGUUUUGCUGUCACUUAUAGAUGGAUCCGCGCCGCAUUAGCUAGUUGGUAAGGUAACGGCUUACCAAGGCAACGAUGCGUAGCCGACCUGAGAGGGUGAUCGGCCACACUGGAACUGAGACACGGUCCAGACUCCUAAGGGAGGCAGCAGUAGGGAAUCUUCCGCAAUGGGCGAAAGCUUGACGGAGCAACGCCGCGUGAGUGAUGAAGGUCUUCGGAUCGUAAAACUCCGUUAUUAGGGAAGAACAAAUGUGUAAGUAACUAUGCACGUCUUGACGGUACCUAAUCAGAAAGCCACGGCUAACUACGUG